This 640-nucleotide long non-coding RNA is filed under the name Eucalyptus grandis. Its description in RNAcentral is "long non-coding RNA (EGRA_LNC002812)". The record is from RNAcentral. Lineage: Eukaryota; Viridiplantae; Streptophyta; Magnoliopsida; Myrtales; Myrtaceae.
ACUCAACAACCUAAGUCGAUUGAAAACUGCAAUUCACUAACUAAGUUGGAUCUAACGCGUUCAGCAAUUCAGGAGUUGCCUGAUUCAAUUGGAAACUUGAAGAGUUUAAGAGUAUUAAAGAUGAUCAACAGCUCCAUAAGAAAACUACCUAGUGCCAUUGGAAUGUUGGAGAAGCUCGAAGAGUUAGAGGCAGGGGCAUAUGCAAUUACAACACUGAGAGGAGAGAUUCCUGAUAAUAUUGGGAAGCUACGAUAUUUGAAAAGAUUGUGGAUUAGUAUCUGUGGAAUUUCAGCGGCACCGCAACUUCCGGAAAGUUUGAUAGAUCUAAGUUUUAUUUCGACUUCAAUAAAGACGUUGCCACUCUUGAACCUAUUAAACCUAAGAAAAUUGACUGUGUAUUCUCCAAGAAUAACCACCCUAUCGCCCGAUAUCAGUUUUCUUUCUCAGCUGGAGGAACUCACUCUCCGCUGCAUGAAUUUGCAAUGCCUACCUAGGCUUCCGACAAAUCUGUCAAUUUUAUUGAUGGGGGAGAGUAACAAGUGGAAAACUACAAAUGAUCUCUCGUACUUGAAAUCAUUAUGGAAGUUGUUAGUUCGGGAUUGUCGCAGGCUAACAGAAAUUCAAGGCCUUGAAGGUUUGC